This 83-nucleotide small RNA is filed under the name Marmota monax (woodchuck). Lineage: Eukaryota; Metazoa; Chordata; Mammalia; Rodentia; Sciuridae. The record is from RNAcentral.
GCUGGGUGUGGUGGCUCAUGCCUGUAAUCCCAGCAGCAUGGGAGGCUGAGGCAGGAAGAUCAAAAGUUCAAAGCCAGUCUCAG